AGAGUUUGAUCCUGGCUCAGGAUGAACGCUAGCUACAGGCUUAACACAUGCAAGUCGAGGGGCAGCAUGGUCUUAGCUUGCUAAGGCCGAUGGCGACCGGCGCACGGGUGAGUAACACGUAUCCAACCUGCCGUCUACUCUUGGACAGCCUUCUGAAAGGAAGAUUAGUACAAGAUGGCAUCAUGAGUCCGCAUGUUCACAUGAUUAAAGGUAUUCCGGUAGACGAUGGGGAUGCGUUCCAUUAGAUAGUAGGCGGGGUAACGGCCCACCUAGUCUUCGAUGGAUAGGGGUUCUGAGAGGAAGGUCCCCCACAUUGGAACUGAGACACGGUCCAAACUCCUACGGGAGGCAGCAGUGAGGAAUAUUGGUCAAUGGGCGAGAGCCUGAACCAGCCAAGUAGCGUGAAGGAUGACUGCCCUAUGGGUUGUAAACUUCUUUUAUAAAGGAAUAAAGUCGGGUAUGCAUACCCGUUUGCAUGUACUUUAUGAAUAAGGAUCGGCUAACUCCGUGCCAGCAGCCGCGGUAAUACGGAGGAUCCGAGCGUUAUCCGGAUU
RNAcentral lists this ribosomal RNA (554 nucleotides) under uncultured Bacteroides sp. RNAcentral's name for it is "bacterial SSU rRNA". It matches the Rfam family "Bacterial small subunit ribosomal RNA", at positions 8 to 551 of the family's 1533-position model. Lineage: Bacteria; Pseudomonadati; Bacteroidota; Bacteroidia; Bacteroidales; Bacteroidaceae. The record is from RNAcentral.